Long non-coding RNA from Astatotilapia calliptera (eastern happy), 803 nucleotides. Lineage: Eukaryota; Metazoa; Chordata; Actinopteri; Cichliformes; Cichlidae. The record is from Ensembl.
GCAACAUAGACCAUGUGAGCAUCACCACCAUCAGACGCAUCUUGGGUAAACACAGCAUCACCAUGAAGCAGCUCUACAGAGUCCCAUUCGAGAGGAACAGUGACAGGGUCAAAGGACUUCGAGCUGAAUAUGUACGGAGAAUCUUGGCCAUGGAUGGAGCUGCACAGCCUCAUGAAUACAUUUUCAUUGAUGAAGCUGGAUUCGACCUGAGCAAUGCGGCGACAUUCAGGUGACAGCAUGGAUGGUUUUGACAUGGAAGAGGAUAUUUUCCCCAGUGCCUAGCGGGAGAAGACAUUGCUUGCGAUGUUGAUGAGGUCCUGUGGCCAGACCCCAACAGACGGCGGGAUCCAUGAGCCCACGUAUGCACAAUUGUCAUGAUUUUUUGUUUACAGUAUAGUGUUUUUUCUAUUACUGUAUUAUGGGGUUUUUUUGUUUUUGUUUUUUUUGCUUUAUCUGAAUUCAUGGUACUGCGAUGUACACUAUUGAGUAGGUCUAUUUGCGUUUUUGGUUGUUUGGAAAUGUGUCUCCUGUAAAUGUGCCUUCUGAAUACACAAUGGAAAUCAAGGACUGCAGUGUUUUAUGUAAAGAAGACUAGUGUGUUCCCCCUGAUCUGUAAGUGUUUGCAUAUGAUGCAAGUAUGUGUCAUUUUGUCAACAGAGUUACAUUUUGACAAAGGAAUGUUAGGUUUUGACAGCAGAGUUUAGGUUUUGGGAGUAGAGUUCCAAUUUGGCACAGAUGUGAAUAGUAUAUUUCCCAGUGUUGUGUCAUGUGUACUUGUGUGUACAGUUUUGGCACAGCGAGCG